RNAcentral lists this ribosomal RNA (586 nucleotides) under uncultured bacterium. Its description in RNAcentral is "bacterial SSU rRNA". It matches the Rfam family "Bacterial small subunit ribosomal RNA", at positions 102 to 667 of the family's 1533-position model. The record is from RNAcentral.
ACGGGUGAGUAACACGUGGGUAAUCUGCCUGGGAGCGGGGGAUAACCUGGGGAAACUCGGGCUAAUACCGCAUACGUUGGUGGGGCUUCGGUCCUGUCAAGAAAGCUGGCCUCUGCUUGCAAGCUAGCGCUCCUAGUGGAGCCCGCGGCUGAUUAGCUAGUUGGUGAGGUAAAGGCUCACCAAGGCGACGAUCAGUAGCCGGCCUGAGAGGGUGAUCGGCCACACUGGGACUGAGACACGGCCCAGACUCCUACGGGAGGCAGCAGUGGGGAAUAUUGGACAAUGGGCGCAAGCCUGAUCCAGCAACGCCGCGUGGAGGAUGAAGGUCUUCGGAUCGUAAACUCCUGUCAGACGGGACGAAGGUAGUGGGGUGAACAAUCCCGCUGCUUGACGGUACUGUCAGAGGAAGCCCCGGCUAACUCCGUGCCAGCAGCCGCGGUAAUACGGAGGGGGCGAGCGUUAUUCGGAAUUAUUGGGCGUAAAGGGCGCGUAGGCGGCUGAACAAGUCAAAGGUGAAAUCCCUCGGCUCAACUGAGGAACUGCCUUUGAAACUGUUCGGCUUGAGGCCGGGAGGGGGUAGCGGAAU